GGGUCAAUGAUGAGGACUUUAUAUUGCCUUGAGGAGCGGUGAUGACUUAAAUAUCACGUACAAUGGUAUGACACUGAGGCCC
Carlito syrichta (Philippine tarsier) is the source of this 82-nucleotide small nucleolar RNA. Its record names the gene SNORD115. It matches the Rfam family "Small nucleolar RNA SNORD115". Rfam says of the family: HBII-52 is a member of the C/D class of snoRNAs, which contain the C (UGAUGA) and D (CUGA) box motifs. HBII-52 is encoded in a tandemly repeated array with another C/D snoRNA, HBII-85, in the Prader-Willi syndrome (PWS) region of chromosome 15. Lineage: Eukaryota; Metazoa; Chordata; Mammalia; Primates; Tarsiidae. The record is from Ensembl.